This 766-nucleotide long non-coding RNA is filed under the name Homo sapiens (human). RNAcentral's name for it is "HSALNT0337636". Lineage: Eukaryota; Metazoa; Chordata; Mammalia; Primates; Hominidae. The record is from RNAcentral.
GUGGUCAACUGCAAAAUAAUCAAAGGGCUCAAAUUCACAGCAGUAGAUAAUCCAUAACACAGGGUUAGGCAACAUUAGGUGGGUCCAGGAAACCUUCACAGCUGAAGACCCAGAGAAGGGAACUGGGCCGGAAACACAGCAUCCGGGAACAAGCUGCAAGGAAGUGAUUGCCAAAGCCAACCGCCUGUGCAACCACAACAAGGGAAUCAACAGGCGUAUUCGGGCGUAUUCGGCUUGAGACGUGGCCUGCAAGGUUAGCUUGACUGUUGGACAUGAGUUAUGGCUAGAAUGCAGUUUUUUUAAGGUUCGAUCUACCUCUGCCUUGUCCCUGUUUAGAAAGUGUUGUCCUCCAAGGAUUUCAUCUGACUAUUUGUUGACUGGGAUCUCAUCCGCUACCAGGCUCUGUCCAGAUGCAAACCCCUUGAUUUUGGAUUUUCCAGCCUUCAGAACUACCUUGUGACCAGCUACCAACUUGAAGAAUGGAUAAGAGUUUACUUAAGGGUGGGGGCACUAUCAGACUUGUUCUACAGGUGAAUUAUGGCAAAUAUUUCUUGUAUAUUACUCUCAUGCUGUAGGUGAGUAGUUCUCAACUGGGGUUGAUCUGCGCCUCAGGCAGCAUUGCCAGUUAAAUACAUUACACUGUAAGGGGAAGUACAAAUUAAAAAGUAAGGGGCUUAAUCACUCCCUACGAAAAAUAAGGAAAGAGGUUGCUCCCCCACAUCCUUUGCCUUAGAGCAUUUACAUUUAGGACACUUGUAAUGAUAAG